This 474-nucleotide ribosomal RNA is filed under the name Triticum aestivum (bread wheat). Its description in RNAcentral is "partial small subunit ribosomal RNA". Lineage: Eukaryota; Viridiplantae; Streptophyta; Magnoliopsida; Poales; Poaceae. The record is from RNAcentral.
AUGCCAAAGCCACGCGUCGGAGACAUGGCCCACGGCAAGGCACACAGGAUGCACGGGUUGAAAGAAGAAUUUGUAGAGGCGGUUCGGCGAGCGGGUAACCUUGAUGAGCAGCCUCUUCUGCUGGUCGUGCACGGUGAGAACACCGCGCCGGAUGCCGAUGUCGAACCAGCCCUCGUCGAGUUGUCCGACACUCACGACGCUGCUCGUGAGCGCCGGGAUGAAGUAGACGUCCGUGAACGCCCUGUGAUCACCCCCUUUGUCGGCGAAGACGACGGUCCCGCGCCCGUGGAUCUCCACCACGGAUUCGUCCCGAACCGCACCUUCCCGGUGAUUGAGCGGUCCAGCUCCGCGAACGUGUCGAUUGAACCAGUCAUGUGGUUCGUGGCGCCGGUGUCGAGGAACCAACCCUCACUUUGCUUGCCGCCUGCAAGCGUGGGUGUGGUCACGGCUCUCUCCUCGUUGAGGAAGACGUAG